This 27-nucleotide non-coding RNA is filed under the name Homo sapiens (human). The record is from RNAcentral. Lineage: Eukaryota; Metazoa; Chordata; Mammalia; Primates; Hominidae.
UGCCAAAGGUCAGCUAGGAAGCAAUUC